Molecule: ribosomal RNA, 424 nt
Filed under: uncultured bacterium
Lineage: Bacteria
Description: bacterial SSU rRNA
Rfam family: Bacterial small subunit ribosomal RNA
Source: RNAcentral
GGAAUCUUGGUCAAUGGGGGAAACCCUGAACCAGCAACGCCGCGUGAGGGAUGAAGGCCCUCGGGUCGUAACCCUCUGUCAGAAGGGAAGAAAGCAUUUCGGGCCAACACCCCGGAGUGCUGACGGUACCUCCAAAGGAAGCGCCGGCUAACUCCGUGCCAGCAGCCGCGGUAAUACGGAGGGCGCGAGCGUUGUUCGGAAUCAUUGGGCGUAAAGCGCGUGUAGGCGGCGGUGCAAGUCGGGUGUGAAAGCCCGGGGCUCAACCCCGGAAUUGCACUCGAAACUGCAUCGCUAGAGUCUCGGAGAGGAGGGCGGAAUUCCCGGUGUAGAGGUGAAAUUCGUAGAUAUCGGGAGGAACACCAGUGGCGAAGGCGGCCCUCUGGACGAUGACUGACGCUGAGACGCGAAAGCGUGGGGAGCAAAC